Triticum aestivum (bread wheat) is the source of this 2997-nucleotide RNA transcript. It is a transcript of the gene named putative F-box/LRR-repeat protein 23, with no coding region annotated. Lineage: Eukaryota; Viridiplantae; Streptophyta; Magnoliopsida; Poales; Poaceae. The transcript has 4 exons. The record is from RefSeq and is a predicted model, not a curated record.
UCCGCUCCCUUCGCCACCUUCGCCUAGUUAAACCUGACUUCUCGUUCCAAACCGCUCUCUGCUCUCGACUUCUCCCACGAUCUCACCUCGCUCGCUUCUCGUCCCAAGGGUUUGGGGUUUGGGUUCGCUGGGUUGCCCGAUCUGAUUGAUCUGGUCCUUCGGUCGGUGCAGCGGGGGCGCAUGGCCGGCCCACCGGCGAGCCCCUCCGGCGACGGCGGAAGCCCCACGGCCGGCCGCAUCGGGGAGGAGCGGGACGUGUUCGUGCCCGUCGCGGAUAUCACCCGCAUCAUGGGGAAGGUCAUCCUGCCAGACGGGAAGAUGGACGGGGGGGCUGUGCGGGAGCUGGUCUCCGAGUUCAUCACCCGCCGGGCGAGCAGCGAGAGCGACAGAUGCAAGAGGGCGAAGCGGGAGGCCAUGACGGUUGAUGACCUGCUGUCCGAGAUGGCGAAGCAGGGGUUUCAGGACCACAUCGAACCCCUCAAGGCCUACCUGCACAAGUACAAAGUGGAGCUACCUUGCACAACGGAGGUGGAGCCAAACCCCUUGCCCGUGUCUGAUAUCAGGGAUUAGUCUGAGCUUCCACUCGAUGCGCUUUCUGCAAUCUUCAUGAAGCUUGGGACCAUUGAGAUUCUGAUGGGAGCGGGACUUGUGUGCCACUCAUGGCUGGUAGCAGCCAAGUCCCCUGAGUUGUGGCGUUUCGUGGACAUGACACGCCACAAGGUGGUUUUCUCAGAGGCGGAAAAGGUCAUGUGCAAAAUGGCAAAAGUGGCUAUAGAUCGCUCCGAUGGACGGAUGGAAUCGUUCUGGGCUCAGAAGUUUGUCACUAGCGAACUCUUGAAUUAUAUUGCAAGCAGGUGCCACUCACUAAAGAGCAUUCGGCUCAUCGGCACCAUGUACUUUUGGGAUGAUGAGGACGUAGUAAUUAAGCUUGCAGCUAAAUGUCCAAUGCUACAAGAGAUAGAGUGCUCUGAUCAGAAGCAGCCAUGGCCUUUUUUCACGAGGAUCGGCGCAGCGCGCCCAGAGUUGAAACGUCUAAGAGUCCGUUAUCCUUGGUUCGACUCAGAUUCAAUAUUGAUGAAUGACGAAGGCGAGAAGGAGGAGGAGUCUGAUGAGGCCUGGGAGGCGAGACAAAAUCAGGAGGCCUUUGCCAUAGCAGAGAGCUUGCAUGAGUUGCGGCUCCUUCAGAUGUCAGGCUAUGGCCUGACCAACAAAGGGGUAUACGCCAUCCUCGAAGGCUGCCCCCACCUUGAGUUCCUCGACCUUAGAGAAUGCCUCCACAUCGAAGUUAACGCUGAACUCCAAGCUCGUUGUGCCAAUAUCAGGCAUGUCCAGCUGCCAGGAGUGGGGCCUUAUGUACCGUGCCCCGAACUCCAUACCAUCGAGGCGGAUGAAGGUGAAGUGAUCGAGAUGGAUGAUCUCUAUGAAACGGGGGCUCACUCUCUGCGCAACGAGCUAGCGAUGGACAAUGUUUUUUUUUUGAAUUUUCAACGGGGGGGGGGGGGGGAGGAUUCGCCACCUGAAUUGUAUUCAUUUGCCUAUAGGGCUUUGCAGCCCGUUGCAAGAUAGGGUUCAAAUGAACCAGAAGUACAAGGGGCACAAGAGGAGUAGAGAUAAAGCAAUAACAAUCACACUGACAACACAUAUCACAGAGAGAAACAAAGAGGGAAAACACAACAAAACAAAACCAAAGCACAACCAGUGUAAUCGAACGGCAUUGGCCAGCCGAAACCAAGCCACGACACUGCAUCGUCGACCCAAUCGAAGGCUCCACGCAUCCGAGACCGCACAACGCCGCGACACCACCUGUGUCGUGGGGUACAAUCGAAAGGUCGCACGGGGCCGAGACAGCGCCACGACGUCUAUGUGCCACCGGCGAAGUCGAAGGGCAUCGCCAAGCAAACCAAACCAGGACACUGCACCGUCGACGCAAUCGAAAGGCGCCGCGCAUCCGAGACUGCACUACGCCGCGGCACCACCUGUGCCAUGGGGUACAUUCGAAAGGUCACGCGAGGCCAGAUAGCGCCACGACACCUGUGCGCCACCGGCGAGGACGCUGGGCACUGCCAAGCAGAGACACACGAGGGGGCACUCCGAGCACGAACAACAAGAACACCAACGAUGAAGAAGUCCGCCCGAAAGAGAGAGACAGCCACCCCACAAGCCACGACCCUCCCGGGUGGGAGGAAGCCGCAUCCAUGACCGCCACUGCAAAUCCAUGGAGCUCGCCACCCCGCCAGACAAGUGCCCACCGAAGUUGAAAGCAGGACAGGGGGAUCUCCUCACCGCCCACGGCCGCACCCGGCGUUGGGAGCAAGCCGCAUCCAUGGCUGCCAUCUGCAUGCCAAAGACCUGCCGACCUGCGCUACCGCAACAGGUCAAUAGACCGGAGAAGUAGUGACCAACAGCAUCGCCCGGCACCACGCCGGCCAACGCCAGAACGGGAAGCUCCAGGGCACCCACGCCGUACACACGCAAGCGAGAGGGGGAGCCGAGCUGCAGCAGGUGCAGGAAAGGGACGCCCCUAGCGGAUCUGAGACGGAACCGCCCAGAACCAGCUGCGCAUGCCGCAGCACACCCAGGCGGAGACAGAUCGGGGCGAGCCCGGGGAAGCACCGCCGCCUGGGACCACCGCCCGCGCCGCACAGAGGCCACCGCCGUCGGACCAUCCCCGCAGCCGAGCGACACAGGAUGCCCGUGACGCCACCGACCGCACGAGCCGGAGCGUCGACGCGGAGCCACCAGAACCUCCGUGCACGCACCACCGGGACGCCCAGGCUGCAGCAGGUCACGCACGAGGCCAUCACCGCGCCACCAGGGCACAGCCGCCGAGCGGGAAGCACACAGCCCAGCGCCUGCCAGAUCCGUGCGGGAACGGCCAUGAGAGGCCAGAUCCCGCCGCCGCCAGCCGCCGGAGGGCUUUGCCCGGCGGCGGCGAGGGAAGGGAGGGGAGGAGGGGGUUUGGCGGCGGCGGCUGGGGUUGCCCGCCCGAGUCGCCUC